Molecule: ribosomal RNA, 393 nt
Filed under: uncultured bacterium
Lineage: Bacteria
Description: bacterial SSU rRNA
Rfam family: Bacterial small subunit ribosomal RNA
Source: RNAcentral
UGGGGAAGUAUUGGACAAUGGGCGCAAGCCUGAUCCAGCCAUACCGCGUGGGUGAAGAAGGCCUUCGGGUUGUAAAGCCCUUUUGUUGGGAAAGAAAUCCAGCUGGCUAAUACCCGGUUGGGAUGACGGUACCCAAAGAAUAAGCACCGGCUAACUUCGUGCCAGCAGCCGCGGUAAUACGAAGGGUGCAAGCGUUACUCGGAAUUACUGGGCGUAAAGCGUGCGUAGGUGGUCGUUUUAAGUCCGUUGUGAAAAGCCCUGGGCUCAACCUGGGAACUGCAGUGGAUACUGGGCGACUAGAGUGUGGUAGAGGGUAGCGGAAUUCCUGGUGUAGCAGUGAAAUGCGUAGAGAUCAGGAGGAACAUCCAUGGCGAAGGCAGCUACCUGGACCAA